CAGUAGCCACGGGAAUACGAAGGGGGCUAGCGUUGCUCGGAAUGACUGGGCGUAAAGGGCGCGUAGGCGGCACACACAGUCAGGCGCGAAAUUCCUGGGCUUAACCUGGGGGCUGCGUUUGAUACAUGUGAGCUAGAGGAUGGAAGAGGCUCGUGGAAUUCCCAGUGUAGAGGUGAAAUUCGUAGAUAUUGGGAAGAACACCGGUGGCGAAGGCGGCGAGCUGGUCCAUUACUGACGCUGAGGUACGAAAGCGUGGGGAGCAAACAGGAUUAGAUACCCCUGUAGUCCCUGUCUCUUAUAA
RNAcentral lists this ribosomal RNA (301 nucleotides) under uncultured bacterium. Its description in RNAcentral is "partial 16S ribosomal RNA". It matches the Rfam family "Bacterial small subunit ribosomal RNA", at positions 509 to 809 of the family's 1533-position model. The record is from RNAcentral.